UAAAAGUUUUAUUCUAGCUUAGAAAUUUAAUUUUUAAAUUGGUUACAUGUAAAUUUAAGUGUGUGUUUAGUAUUUUUUAAAUGGAAAUAUCAAUAAUAUAGAUCAAUAAAGUCGCAGUAUAGAAUCUUGAAAAUGAGGGAGAUUUUGAUUUGGGGAUUUAAAAUAGUAUUGACAAAAUUUGUGCCAGCAGUUGCGGUUAUACAGAUAAUGCAAUUAAAUUUGUUCAGUGGGUAGUUAGUAUGUAUAUAAUAUAAUAGUCUAUUAAGUUUAUUAGGUGAAAUUUUAAACUUAGUUAAUGUUUUAAAGAUAGAUAUAAGGCUAUGAAAUUUUUAAAAUAAACUAGGAUUAGAUACCCUAUUAUUUAAAAUGUAAAUUUAUCACACUAGAGUAGUAAUAGUUAUGUUCUUGAAAUUUAAAGAAUUUGGCGGUAUUUUAGUCUAUUCAGAGGAACCUGUCCUAUAAUUGAUAGUCCACGAUUUAUUGUACUUGCUUUAAAGGUUUGUAUACCGUCGUAGAUGGAAUGUUUUAAAAGAAUUAAGAAUGUUCAUAAUGUAUUAUUAAAUAACAAAAAUCAGAUCAAGGUACAGCGUAUAAGUAAGAAGAGAUGGGUUACAAUAAAAGUAUUUAGAUGGUUAUAAUAAUUAAAGUUGUUAUAUAAAGUGGAUUUGAGGGUAAUUUAGUUUAAUUUAACUAGAUGAUUUUAGCUCUAAAAUAUGCACAUAUCGCCCGUCGCUCCCGCUUUAAGGUGGGAUAAGUCGUAACAAAGUAGGCGUACCGGAAGGUGUGCCUGGUAAGGC
This 797-nucleotide non-coding RNA is filed under the name Melolontha hippocastani. Lineage: Eukaryota; Metazoa; Arthropoda; Insecta; Coleoptera; Scarabaeidae. The record is from RNAcentral.